GCCGCCAUAGUUUAGUUGGUUAGAUAGUAGGUCUAAUAAGGCCAAGGUCACGGGCUCGAACCUUGCUGGCGACG
This is a non-coding RNA of Parelaphostrongylus tenuis, 74 nucleotides long. Lineage: Eukaryota; Metazoa; Nematoda; Chromadorea; Rhabditida; Metastrongylidae. The record is from the annotation of a GenBank genome assembly.